RNAcentral lists this ribosomal RNA (694 nucleotides) under uncultured bacterium. RNAcentral's name for it is "bacterial SSU rRNA". It matches the Rfam family "Bacterial small subunit ribosomal RNA", at positions 12 to 755 of the family's 1533-position model. The record is from RNAcentral.
UUUGAUCCUGGCUCAGAACGAACGCUGGCGGCAGGCCUAACACAUGCAAGUCGAGCGAGAUCUUCGGAUCUAGCGGCGGACGGGUUAGUAACGCGUGGGAACGUACCCAAAGGUAGGGAAUAGCCACUGGAAACGGUGAGUAAUACCCUAUGUGCUUCGGGGGAAAGAUUUAUCGCCUUUGGAUCGGCCCGCGUUAGAUUAGAUAGUUGGUGGGGUAACGGCCUACCAAGUCUACGAUCUAUAGCUGGUUUUAGAGGAUGAUCAGCAACACUGGGACUGAGACACGGCCCAGACUCUACGGGAGGCAGCAGUGGGGAAUCUUGGACAAUGGGGGCAACCCUGAUCCAGCCAUGCCGCGUGAGUGAUGAAGGCCCUAGGGUCGUAAAGCUCUUUCGCCUGUGAAGAUAAUGACUGUAGCAGGUAAAGAAACCCCGGCUAACUCCGUGCCAGCAGCCGCGGUAAUACGGAGGGGGUUAGCGUUGUUCGGAAUUACUGGGCGUAAAGCGCGCGUAGGCGGACUGGAAAGUUGGGGGUGAAAUCCCAGGGCUCAACCCUGGAACUGCCUCCAAAACUAUCAGUCUAGAGUUCGAGAGAGGUGAGUGGAAUUCCGAGUGUAGAGGUGAAAUUCGUAGAUAUUCGGAGGAACACCAGUGGCGAAGGCGGCUCACUGGCUCGAUACUGACGCUGAGGUGCG